This 254-nucleotide ribosomal RNA is filed under the name uncultured bacterium. RNAcentral's name for it is "partial 16S ribosomal RNA". It matches the Rfam family "Bacterial small subunit ribosomal RNA", at positions 524 to 776 of the family's 1533-position model. The record is from RNAcentral.
CACGUAGGGUGCGAGCGUUGUCCGGAAUUAUUGGGCGUAAAGAGCUCGUAGGCGGUGUGUCGCGUCGGCCGUGAAAACCUGCAGCUUAACUGUGGGCUUGCGGUCGAUACGGGCAUCACUGGAGUUCGGCAGGGGAGACUGGAAUUCCCGGUGUAGCGGUGAAAUGCGCAGAGAUCGGGAGGAACACCCGUAGCGAAGGCGGCACUCUGGGCCGGUACUGACGCUGAGGAGCGAAAGCGUGGGGAGCAAACAGG